Hydra vulgaris (swiftwater hydra) is the source of this 543-nucleotide non-coding RNA. The record is from RefSeq and is a predicted model, not a curated record. Lineage: Eukaryota; Metazoa; Cnidaria; Hydrozoa; Anthoathecata; Hydridae.
UUCUUGACUGAGUGUUCUUACAGUAAAUUAGUAGAAUAAGGUAUUUAUUUGUGACUUAUUUGACAAUACUUGUAUUAUACAUUCUAUUAUAAUUCUAUCAUUAGUAUAUAUAUAUUUUGGGGUAGGUGGUCAUCUCAUCUUGGAGAAAGAAAAUUUGGAUAUAAAAUCACUUUAAUGUGGUAUGGCUAAGUGCAAAAAUAGUUGAGAAUAGAAAAACAAAAAAAAUUUCUUCUGAAAUUUGUCAAAAGGGUGUUGUGUAAUGCUUGAUUUUAAGAGCAGUUAAGAGGAGCUGAUUGCUUUUUUUAGUAAGCUCAAGUUAUUUUCUCAUACAUAAAUUAGGAUUUUCGAUUUAUUUCAGUCUAUUUUAUAUUUCUCUAUAUCUAUAUAUAUAUUUUCUCUAAGGAUAAAUAAUAAGGAAUAGAAAGUUGAGAAUAUUUCUUCUGCAAUUUGCCAAAAGACAAAUGCAGAAGAAAUUUUCUAAGCUUCAUUUUAAGGUAUGUAAAUAUGUAUUUAUUAGAAGUUUUUAAUUUUGUUCUUAAAUAG